Molecule: transfer RNA, 700 nt
Filed under: uncultured organism
Description: bacterial LSU rRNA
Rfam family: tRNA (bases 43-116)
Source: RNAcentral
GCGCAAAGAAGCUUUAAGCUUUGAGCUUUCAGCUUAAAAGAGGGGCUUGUAGCUCAGGUGGUUAGAGCGCUACACUGAUAAUGUAGAGGUCCGUGGUUCGAGUCCACGCAGGCCCACUUUGAGAGGUAAUCAGUAAACGGUAAACGGUAAUCAGUAAAUGGUGCCAUUUAGCGGACUGAAGCAAAACUCUUAAGAUAGUGAAGGGAAAGGAUAAGAAGCAGGCAUUGGGUAGAGCACCUACCGAUUACUGUUUACCGACUACCGCUUACUAAAAAAGAAGGGGGAUUAGCUCAGCUGGCUAGAGCGCCUGCUUUGCAAGCAGGAGGUCGUCGGUUCGACUCCGACAUUCUCCACUGAAAGAAGCUGCAAGCUUCUGGCUUCUAGCUACGAGAGAGGAGCAACAGAGAGGAGCAACAAAGAAAAAGAGACUGCGAACUAGGAGAGUUCGACAGAAGAUUGAAAGAAUUGAUACAAUUGGUUGAAAGUUGACAAGCCACGCCAGGCGUAUAGCACAAGUGAAAGCUUGAAGCUAGAAGCUGGCAGCUUGAAGCUAUUAAAUCACAUUGCCUCCCCCUGUAGGUCGGGCCAUCAAGAUAAGCCAUCUUAGGUCACACGACGGGAAUAAGGGAGAGCAAAGGAGUUCAUUGACAUGCUGAUGAAAGAGUAGUAAUAGUGGCGAUGUGGAGUUGAAAGACUUUGC